This 73-nucleotide transfer RNA is filed under the name Prolixibacteraceae bacterium. RNAcentral's name for it is "tRNA-Ala". It matches the Rfam family "tRNA". From Rfam's summary of the family: Transfer RNA (tRNA) molecules are approximately 80 nucleotides in length. Their secondary structure includes four short double-helical elements and three loops (D, anti-codon, and T loops). Lineage: Bacteria; Pseudomonadati; Bacteroidota; Bacteroidia; Marinilabiliales; Prolixibacteraceae. The record is from RNAcentral.
GGGUCAGUAGCUCAGCUGGGAGAGCGCCAGCUUUGCAAGCUGGAAGUCGCAGGUUCGAGCCCUGUCUGAUCCA